Lepus europaeus (European hare) is the source of this 833-nucleotide long non-coding RNA. RefSeq lists it as uncharacterized. The transcript is spliced from 4 exons. The record is from RefSeq and is a predicted model, not a curated record. Lineage: Eukaryota; Metazoa; Chordata; Mammalia; Lagomorpha; Leporidae.
UCGCAGAGAGAGAGAGAGAGAGAGAUCGGUCUUCCUUCUGCUGGUUUACUUCCUGAAUGCCCUGAACAGUGUCCUAGCCUGGACUGAAGCUGGAAGAACAAUCCUGGAGGCCAUCACUGCUGCCUCUGGGGAUCUGCUGGAUUCAGGAGCUGGAGCCAGGAAUCAAACCCAGUCACUCCAGUGUGGGAGGCCAGGAAGCCACCUGCACAAGGAACAGAAGGCUUUCCAGAGCUGUCUGCUGAUUGAUGGCUACAUUGAGAACCUGAACCAGCUUCACAAUAACCCCUGUUUCUGUACUUCAAAUCAAUUCACAAGCCCAGGGAGACCCAUCAAGAGAGCAAGGAGGAAAUCGGAGAGAGUGUCAUCUAUUUAUCCAAGAACCUACUCCUGUGGUUAAGUAAACUUCUCAGUCUCCUGCUUCUAUGAAGCCUGAACAUGUGUCUGGAAAAAAAGCAACUGAGACCUUGCUUUCCCCAAGCAGUAGAAUCAGCCAAUCUCAGCAAAGCUCCAAGUUUGUCUUAAGAAUCUGGAAGGCUAAGAACCACUGCAACAACCCACAUGUUAGCGGGUUAAAGCCCUGGCCUGAAGUGCCAGCAUUCCAUAUGGGCGCUGGUUCUAGUCCUGGCUGCUCCACUUCUGAUCCAGCUCCCUGCUAUGGCCUGGGAAAGCAGUGGAGAAUGGCCCAAGUCCUUGGGCCCCUGCACCCACGUGGGAGACCUGGAAGAAGCUCCUGGCUCCUGGCUUUGGAUUGGCACAGCUCUGGCCACUGCAGCCAUCCAGGGAGUGAACCAUCGGAUGGAAGACCUCUCUCUCUGUCUCCUCUCUCUGGAACU